AACGAACGCUGGCGGCAUGCCUAACACAUGCAAGUCGAACGAGACCUUCGGGUCUGGUUGCGCACGGGUGCGUAACGCGUGGGAACCUGCCCUUAGGUUCGGAAUACCUCCCCGUAGGGGGUGCUAAUACCGGAUAAUGUACUCGGACCAAAGAUUUAUCGCCCUUGGAUGAGCCCGCGUUGGAUUAGCUAGUUGGUAGGGUAAAAGCCUACCAAGGCGACGAUCGAUAGCUGGUCAGAGAGGCAGAUCAGCCACACUGGGACUGAGACACGGCCCAGACUCCUACGGGAGGCAGGAGUGGGGGAUAUAGGACAACGGGGUGAAUCCUGAUCGAGUAAGGGCGCGUGAGUGAUGAAGGCGUUAGAGAAGUAAAGCUCGUUUACCCGGGAUGAUAAUGACGGUACCGGGAGAAUAAGCACCGGCUAACUCCGUG
This 433-nucleotide ribosomal RNA is filed under the name uncultured bacterium. RNAcentral describes it as "partial 16S ribosomal RNA". It matches the Rfam family "Bacterial small subunit ribosomal RNA", at positions 29 to 507 of the family's 1533-position model. The record is from RNAcentral.